CUGCUGCCUCCCGUAGGAGUUUGGGCCGUGUCUCAGUCCCAAUGUGGCCGUCCACCCUCUCAGGCCGGCUACUGAUCGUCGCCUUGGUGGGCCGUUACCCCGCCAACAAGCUAAUCAGACGCGGGUCCAUCUUACACCACCGGAGUUUUUCACACAAAUCCAUGCGGCUUCGUGCGCUUAUGCGGUAUUAGCACCUAUUUCUAAGUGUUAUCCCCCCAGUGUAAGGCAGGUUACCCACGCGUUACUCACCCGUCCGCCACUAAG
Molecule: ribosomal RNA, 264 nt
Filed under: uncultured bacterium
Lineage: Bacteria
Description: partial 16S ribosomal RNA
Source: RNAcentral